RNAcentral lists this ribosomal RNA (1382 nucleotides) under uncultured bacterium. Its description in RNAcentral is "bacterial SSU rRNA". It matches the Rfam family "Bacterial small subunit ribosomal RNA". The record is from RNAcentral.
GAAUUCGCCCUUAGAGUUUGAUCCUGGCUCAGGACGAACGCUGGCGGCGCGCCUAACACAUGCAAGUCGAACGAGCGAGAGAGAGCUUGCUUUCUCGAGCGAGUGGCGAACGGGUGAGUAACGCGUGAGGAACCUGCCUCAAAGAGGGGGACAACAGUUGGAAACGACUGCUAAUACCGCAUAAGCCCACGGCUCGGCAUCGAGCAGAGGGAAAAGGAGCAAUCCGCUUUGAGAUGGCCUCGCGUCCGAUUAGCUAGUUGGUGAGGUAAUGGCCCACCAAGGCGACGAUCGGUAGCCGGACUGAGAGGUUGAACGGCCACAUUGGGACUGAGACACGGCCCAGACUCCUACGGGAGGCAGCAGUGGGGAAUAUUGCACAAUGGGGGAAACCCUGAUGCAGCGACGCCGCGUGGAGGAAGAAGGUCUUCGGAUUGUAAACUCCUGUUGUUGGGGAAGAUAAUGACGGUACCCAACAAGGGAGUGACGGCUAACUACGUGCCAGCAGCCGCGGUAAAACGUAGGUCACAAGCGUUGUCCGGAAUUACUGGGUGUAAAGGGAGCGCAGGCGGGAAGACAAGUUGGAAGUGAAAUCUAUGGGCUCAACCCAUAAACUGCUUUCAAAACUGUUUUUCCUGAGUAGUGCAGAGGUAGGCGGAAUUCCCGGUGUAGCGGUGGAAUGCGUAGAUAUCGGGAGGAACACCAGUGGCGAAGGCGGCCUACUGGGCACCAACUGACGCUGAGGCUCGAAAGUGUGGGUAGCAAACAGGAUUAGAUACCCUGGUAGUCCACACCGUAAACGAUGAUUACUAGGUGUUGGAGGAUUGACCCCUUCAGUGCCGCAGUCAACACAAUAAGUAAUCCACCUGGGGAGUACGACCGCAAGGUUGAAACUCAAAGGAAUUGACGGGGGCCCGCACAAGCAGUGGAGUAUGUGGUUUAAUUCGACGCAACGCGAAGAACCUUACCAAGUCUUGACAUCCCUUGACGAUGCUGGAAACAGUAUUUCUCUUCGGAGCAAGGAGACAGGUGGUGCAUGGUUGUCGUCAGCUCGUGUCGUGAGAUGUUGGGUUAAGUCCCGCAACGAGCGCAACCCUUAUGGUCAGUUACUACGCAAGAGGACUCUGGCCAGACUGCCGUUGACAAAACGGAGGAAGGUGGGGAUGACGUCAAAUCAUCAUGCCCUUUAUGACUUGGGCUACACACGUACUACAAUGGCGUUAAACAAAGAGAAGCAAGACCGCGAGGUGGAGCAAAACUCAGAAACAACGUCCCAGUUCGGACUGCAGGCUGCAACUCGCCUGCACGAAGUCGGAAUUGCUAGUAAUCGUGGAUCAGCAUGCCACGGUGAAUACGUUCCCGGGCCUUGUACACACCGCCCGUCA